AAUGAACGCUGGCGGCGUGCUUAACACAUGCAAGUCGUACGAGAACUCUUCAGCUUGCUGAAGAUAGUAAAGUGGCGUACGGGUGAGUAACGCGUGGGUAAUCUACCCCUGAAUCGGGAAUAACAUUGCGAAAGCGAUGCUAAUACCGGAUAACAUCAUUGAGUCUUCGGAUUUAAUGAUCAAAGGUGGCCAAUCCUUGGAAGCUACUGUUUGGGGAUGAGCCCGCGUACCAUUAGCUUGUUGGUAGGGUAAUGGCCUACCAAGGCAACGAUGGUUAGCUGGUCUGAGAGGAUGAUCAGCCACACUGGAACUGACACACGGUCCAGACUCCUACGGGAGGCUG
RNAcentral lists this ribosomal RNA (343 nucleotides) under uncultured Pseudomonadota bacterium. Its description in RNAcentral is "bacterial SSU rRNA". It matches the Rfam family "Bacterial small subunit ribosomal RNA", at positions 29 to 351 of the family's 1533-position model. Lineage: Bacteria; Pseudomonadati; Pseudomonadota. The record is from RNAcentral.